UCUUUUUUACGCUUUCCUUACAUUUUCCCUUCUUGCAUUUCAUCCCUACCACUACCUGUCCCAAUUGACCCACACUGCGCCUCACGGCUCUCCAGCAUACCUCUGUUCGUUCGUUUUUACAGCUCCUCCGACCACCAUAAUGUCAUCGGCCAGCCACUUACCGACGGGAUUUGAGCUACUCCACUAGGAGACCGACGAUUUUCUUGCAUCAGAACUUCAACCCAUUGAAGAGCUACUUCGAAAUUCUCUCUUCCACCACAACCCAAUCGAUGANAAUGGACAACUACGGCCAGCAGUGGGACUCUGUUCCCGAACAACUAGUAAGUUUCUACACCCUUCCUGCUCGCAUUUGAUCACCGCAUCUCUGGCUGCACAAUAGUAACGUUAUUCCCCUAUUUCUCCAAUUGUAAGUUGCUUCCUUUCCACAUGUGAUCCACAACACCCGAAUGUGAAAGUCACGUCUGGUAAUUCUGAA
Molecule: long non-coding RNA, 475 nt
Filed under: Olea europaea subsp. europaea
Lineage: Eukaryota; Viridiplantae; Streptophyta; Magnoliopsida; Lamiales; Oleaceae
Source: RNAcentral